UUCCACGGACCAUGUGUUGCCCGGGGAAGCAUUAGUUGGCGCACUUAGAGUAACACGGGGCAUUCAAGCUCAAGAAGCUGAUCGCUAGAAAUUAAACUUUAUUCCUCUGGAGUCAAUGCGGCUAAUGAGUUCUGACGGCAUUUUUGGGGACUUUGUAAGACGUGUCCACAAUAAAUGGCUGUUGAAACCAA
This is a long non-coding RNA of Xiphophorus hellerii (green swordtail), 191 nucleotides long. RefSeq lists it as uncharacterized. Lineage: Eukaryota; Metazoa; Chordata; Actinopteri; Cyprinodontiformes; Poeciliidae. The record is from RefSeq and is a predicted model, not a curated record. The transcript is spliced from 2 exons.